GCGAUCCUGCGAGCGACCGUGUUCGCGAUCUCGGCAAAGAAGCUUUGAUCCCGAUCCGCGGGUGAUCGUGUUCGCAAUCCCGGCGAAGAAGCUUCUCCAAAAGCAAGGCCUGAGCUCACGGGCUUUCCCGCCCGUUGCUAUGGAACUGAGGUUGAGAGGAUCUUGGUCCAUUGUCUGUGAGUCGGUGAACGUAGCGAAGGUAGUGAAUCCCCAGUCGUGUUUGGGAGACCUAAGAUUCGUUUGAGGUUUCAGACAAAAAUGAGACCAUAAAGAUUUGUCUCCUUCAAAAAAAUAUAGAUUUGCCCUCCACUUUCAGAUUGGUUUUCUUUGUGUUUAUCUGAGGAGAAAGUACCAUGAGAUAAUGGAGAUGAAUUACUUAUGAGCAAAGAAGUCUUGGAGACGGAUUGCUUGGAUGCUAGUCGCGGGCGGAUCGCAGGCAAUCCCAUGGAAUCGCGGGCGAUCACGAUCACGAUCAAUCUCCUUUCUUUGUCCCUGUUUCUCCCUACUUCUUUCUCCUUGUUUCUCUCUGUUUCCAUAAUAUUUAAAGGAGCUCUGCUGUUUGGGAUUGAAGAAUAUCCGUUGAUGUCUGAGAAAGUGAAACUGUUGUUUCUAAAUACCAUGGUUUCUGAAUGUUAAUUUGUAAAAUUCUUUUUCCUG
Long non-coding RNA from Phoenix dactylifera (date palm), 657 nucleotides. RefSeq lists it as uncharacterized. The record is from RefSeq and is a predicted model, not a curated record. Lineage: Eukaryota; Viridiplantae; Streptophyta; Magnoliopsida; Arecales; Arecaceae.